This is a microRNA precursor of Microcebus murinus (gray mouse lemur), 76 nucleotides long. NCBI's taxonomy places the organism in Eukaryota, Metazoa, Chordata, Mammalia, Primates, Cheirogaleidae. The record is from Ensembl.
GUCACGUCCCCUUAUCACUUUUCCAGCCCAGCGUUGUCACUCCGAGUGCUGGACGGAGAACUGAUAAGGGUGGGUG